UUUCUGGCUCUCACAGACCUAAAGAAGAUAGUUUGUGCGUUUGCAUUAGCCUGCCUGGAGUGCCAGAUGGAUGUGGGGGUUCUGUAAUAACUCCUCCUUGCCUGUAGGUGGCGUACUUCCCAUUUGACUGGCAGAGCUGCAUUGUGGUGUUUUGCUCCUAUAACUCAUCAGAGAUGGGUCUCCAAUAUGCCCUGGAUGAGAAUGAAGAGGAGAUACAGGACAUAGAUGAGAAUGCCUUAAUUGCUGUGGAGAUGACUCUGACCAUCACUGUCCUCAUCUGUGUAAUGCUUCUCCUCUUCGUCUGAGGAGGAGUAGGAAGGAUCGGACCAAUGCGCAGCGUGGAUGUCGGUGGGCGGAGCCGUGAGGGUCGUCAGCGACAUGGGACACACCUGGGCCUUUCACUCAAACCCAGACCCUUUUCUUUUGUGUAACAAGCUGUCAUAUCUGUUCCGCCCGCUAGGGACGUUUUCCUUUAUGACGUAAUUUGUAAUCAAGUUAUGAUUAAUUAUGUGUAUGUUUAAUUCUGUGUGAUUAGUUAGGUAUUUCGUAAAUAAAUAAUUA
Molecule: long non-coding RNA, 561 nt
Organism: Oncorhynchus tshawytscha (Chinook salmon)
Lineage: Eukaryota; Metazoa; Chordata; Actinopteri; Salmoniformes; Salmonidae
Source: Ensembl